RNAcentral lists this ribosomal RNA (497 nucleotides) under uncultured bacterium. Its description in RNAcentral is "partial 16S ribosomal RNA". It matches the Rfam family "Bacterial small subunit ribosomal RNA", at positions 28 to 507 of the family's 1533-position model. The record is from RNAcentral.
GAUGAACGCUGGCGGCGUGCCUAAUACAUGCAAGUCGAGCGAACAGACGAGAAGCUUGCUCCUCUGAUGUUAGCGGCGGACGGGUGAGUAACACGUGGAUAACCUACCUAUAAGACUGGGAUAACUUCGGGAAACCGGAGCUAAUACCGGAUAAUAUAUUGAACCGCAUGGUUCAAUAGUGAAAGACGGUUUUGCUGUCACUUAUAGAUGGAUCCGCGCUGCAUUAGCUAGUUGGUAAGGUAACGGCUUACCAAGGCAACGAUGCGUAGCCGACCUGAGAGGGUGAUCGGCCACACUGGAACUGAGACACGGUCCAGACUCCUACGGGAGGCAGCAGUAGGGAAUCUUCCGCAAAGGGCGAAAGCCUGACGGAGCAACGCCGCGUGAGUGAUGAAGGUCUUCGGAUCGUAAAACUCUGUUAUUAGGGAAGAACAAAUGUGUAAGUAACUAUGCACAUCUUGACGGUACCUAAUCAGAAAGCCACGGCUAACUACGUG